Long non-coding RNA from Macaca fascicularis (crab-eating macaque), 2165 nucleotides. Lineage: Eukaryota; Metazoa; Chordata; Mammalia; Primates; Cercopithecidae. The record is from Ensembl.
UAUUUGAUACGAGUUUAUUUGUGAAGUAAACUAUGAUACAUUUAUGUAGUGGAACACCAUACACCUAAUAAAAAUUAUCACACAGACUAUUACUCAAAACAUUCAUGUAAUAUACUAUUUAUUAUACAGUUAAAUUAUUAUGUUACCAAGCAAUAUAGACACAGUGAAAUUAUACUGUUUUCAUUCAAAUUGAAUAUAAAUAGAUAGAAACCAAAAAACUAAAAUGUUAACAGCAGUCAUUUCUAAGUGAGGGGAUUAUUACUGAUUUUAUUUUCUUAUCUUUCUUUUCUAUAUUUUUUAUUUUUCUCAUAAAGAACAUAAGUACUUACAUAGUAAAGAAAAAUAAAAGCCAUGUAAGUCCCUCGUUUGAAAGUUAUAAUAUUAAUAGAAGAAAUCAGAAUACAACUCUCUAUCUAAAGUAUUAUCCAAAUUUUGUUUUUAAAUAUUUGGACUAUAAUACACAUGCUUCAGAAUACCUCGGAAAUAUAUAUAGGAUUAUUCCCAUGGCUUAGAACUAUAGGUGAUUUUUGUUUUAUUCUUCAUAUCUCUGUUUUGCCAAGUUUUCUGCUGCAAACAUGUAUUUUAUAUAAUCAGAGAAAACAACAACAAUCAUAGAACACAUAGAAGUCGAAUCCGAGUUUUCUUAUUUUAGUUAAAAUACUAAAAAAUAAAGCAGAAUAUUGAGUGUAUCUGGGGAAAUUAGAAGGAAAGUGAAUACUUCUCUUUCUUUUCUUUAAACUUUAUUUUUAAGUGGCUUCCUGACUGCCAUAAUGUUUACCAAACUCAGUGCUAAGAUUUUCAUUGACAAGCACAGGCAUGCUGUAGCCCGCUUUCCUGUAGAACUGUCACAAUAAAAAGACAUUCACAUUUUAGUAUUUGGGCAAAAUGUUUAACACUCAAACAUUUGUAUUUUUCCUUCAGUUUUCAAAACAACUUUAAAUCUCUCUUUUCAAAACAGCGUUAAAUGAUGUCACUCAUUAGCUAGCAGGUGGCUGGCAGUGGAGAAUUGUGUUUAAUGCUUCCAUUUCCAAUGCAGCUGGAAGCACAGACCAGGUGAGCGUGCAGUGUGCGGGUUCAACUUAGGAGCUGCAGGCUGGGCAUUGAGUAAACUGGGGGCGGCACAGCAGCAAGCUGGGGUAGACCUCCGAGCCCCAACCAGGAACGUGAGGCAUGAAGUCCAACCUUACACUGUCUGCAUGGAGAUAGAUCCGGGAAAAUCAAGCCACUGGUAAUAAAGGAAUCAGUGCCGCCCAGAGUAUAAGAGCCAUGUGUCCCACAGAAGAAACCACUGUUGGAAGUCCAGCUGUCAUUUUAGGGCAGACUGAAAAGGAGAUACAGAAAGUAUCAGGGAAGUCAGCCGGGAGGGCCAUCCUGACCUGAGCUUAGUGACAGCCGAGAAAAAGAACGUGGCAUCAGUGACGAAGUUCACAUGGUACUGGUUGUGAGGUUUGGCUACAAUAGAGGAUGAGGUGGCAAUGAUGAUAAACUGCCAUCGAACAGACAUAAAGGAUGAAAUAAUCUUGAAUCCCUCCUGAGCCUACCAAGCCAGGCUAAGCCCAAAGAGUCUGGAGAAGGCUCUGCAUUUGGAUACCCAGCCCCUGCACUGGAGGAAAGCUGUGCAUCUUCAAUGGAAUUUCUCAAUCCAAAUGGCUGGGGUGAGGUCAAAAGCAUGCUCUUACCCAAGGUAUUUUAAGUGUAGGAGUGAGAGGUAUGCUGGGAUUUCAUUAAGAUCUCUUUGGGGAACACAGAACACUUAGUGCCUGUCUAGGCCUUGUUUGUAUCAGUACCAGGUUUGCAGCCAGACGGAUUUUUCAGCCCUACCCAUAACCAUUGCCCCCGAGUUGCUCAAGGGGACAACAGGGAUUCACCCAAACCAGCCACUGAGUCAGCCCAAGGGACUGGAUUAAGUCUUCUGUGACCCUGUGCUUGGAGGUGCAGAUGGCCUAACUUGUGGCAUGAAAUGCCACUGGUAAUGGGCGACACUAAGACCUGAAAUUUCCCGGAAAGGCCAGCAUGGUAAGUGUGUUUGCUUCAUAACAUUUUUGUGCAGAUUAGGUGAGAAGAGAGGCUGUAGGUUCAGUGUGGAGGACAGGGGCCAGCUCAGAGCAAACGCCCAAGUGUGAGUCCUUAGAGCCUUAUUAUUCCUCGCACUUCACCUUUGCUUC